Molecule: ribosomal RNA, 844 nt
Filed under: Bacillus siamensis
Lineage: Bacteria; Bacillati; Bacillota; Bacilli; Caryophanales; Bacillaceae
Description: bacterial SSU rRNA
Rfam family: Bacterial small subunit ribosomal RNA
Source: RNAcentral
AAGUCGAGCGGACAGAUGGGAGCUUGCUCCCUGAUGUUAGCGGCGGACGGGUGAGUAACACGUGGGUAACCUGCCUGUAAGACUGGGAUAACUCCGGGAAACCGGGGCUAAUACCGGAUGGUUGUCUGAACCGCAUGGUUCAGACAUAAAAGGUGGCUUCGGCUACCACUUACAGAUGGACCCGCGGCGCAUUAGCUAGUUGGUGAGGUAACGGCUCACCAAGGCGACGAUGCGUAGCCGACCUGAGAGGGUGAUCGGCCACACUGGGACUGAGACACGGCCCAGACUCCUACGGGAGGCAGCAGUAGGGAAUCUUCCGCAAUGGACGAAAGUCUGACGGAGCAACGCCGCGUGAGUGAUGAAGGUUUUCGGAUCGUAAAGCUCUGUUGUUAGGGAAGAACAAGUGCCGUUCAAAUAGGGCGGCACCUUGACGGUACCUAACCAGAAAGCCACGGCUAACUACGUGCCAGCAGCCGCGGUAAUACGUAGGUGGCAAGCGUUGUCCGGAAUUAUUGGGCGUAAAGGGCUCGCAGGCGGUUUCUUAAGUCUGAUGUGAAAGCCCCCGGCUCAACCGGGGAGGGUCAUUGGAAACUGGGGAACUUGAGUGCAGAAGAGGAGAGUGGAAUUCCACGUGUAGCGGUGAAAUGCGUAGAGAUGUGGAGGAACACCAGUGGCGAAGGCGACUCUCUGGUCUGUAACUGACGCUGAGGAGCGAAAGCGUGGGGAGCGAACAGGAUUAGAUACCCUGGUAGUCCACGCCGUAAACGAUGAGUGCUAAGUGUUAAGGGGUUUCCGCCCCUUAGUGCUGCAGCUAACGCAUUAAGCACUCCGCCUGGGGGAGUAC